Molecule: ribosomal RNA, 468 nt
Filed under: uncultured bacterium
Lineage: Bacteria
Description: partial 16S ribosomal RNA
Rfam family: Bacterial small subunit ribosomal RNA
Source: RNAcentral
GACGAACGCUGGCGGCGUGCUUAACACAUGCAAGUCGAACGGAAAGGCCAUGCUUUUGUGGGGUGCUCGAGUGGCGAACGGGUGAGUAACACGUGAGUAACCUGCCCUUGACUUUGGGAUAACUUCAGGAAACUGGGGCUAAUAUCGGAUAGGAGCUCCUGAUGCAUGGUGGGGGUUGGAAAGUUUCGGCGGUUGGGGCUGGACUCGCGGCUUAUCAGCUUGUUGGUGGGGUAGUGGCUUACCAAGGCUUUGACGGGUAGCCGGCCUGAGCGGGUGACCGGCCACAUUGGGACUGAGAUACGGCCCAGACUCCUACGGGAGGCAGCAGUGGGGAAUAUUGCGCAAUGGGCGGAAGCCUGAUGCAGCAACGCCGCGUGCGGGAUGACGGCCUUCGGGUUGUAAACCGCUUUCGCCUGUGACGAAGCGUGAGUGACGGUAAUGAGUAAAGAAGCACCGGCUAACUACGUG